GAUGAACGCUGGCGGCGUGCCUAAUACAUGCAAGUCGAGCGAACGGACGAGAAGCUUGCUUCUCUGAUGUUAGCGGCGGACGGGUGAGUAACACGUGGAUAACCUACCUAUAAGACUGGGAUAACUUCGGGAAACCGUAGCUAAUACCGGAUAAUAUUUUGAACCGCAUGGUUCAAAAGUGAAAGACGGUCCUGCUGUCACUUAUAGAUGGAUCCGCGCUGCAUUAGCUAGUUGGUAAGGUAACGGCUUACCAAGGCAACGAUGCAUAGCCGACCUGAGAGGGUGAUCGGCCACACUGGAACUGAGACGCGGUCCAGACUCCUACGGGAGGCAGCAGUAGGGAAUCUUCCGCAAUGGGCGAAAGCCUGACGGAGCAACGCCGCGUGAGUGAUGAAGGUCUUCGGAUCGUAAAACUCUGUUAUUAGGGAAGAACAUAUGUGUAAGUAACUGUGCACAUCUUGACGGUACCUAAUCAGAAAGCCACGGCUAACUACGUG
RNAcentral lists this ribosomal RNA (497 nucleotides) under uncultured bacterium. Its description in RNAcentral is "partial 16S ribosomal RNA". It matches the Rfam family "Bacterial small subunit ribosomal RNA", at positions 28 to 507 of the family's 1533-position model. The record is from RNAcentral.